RNAcentral lists this ribosomal RNA (304 nucleotides) under uncultured bacterium. Its description in RNAcentral is "partial 16S ribosomal RNA". It matches the Rfam family "Bacterial small subunit ribosomal RNA", at positions 509 to 809 of the family's 1533-position model. The record is from RNAcentral.
CAGCAGUCGCCGCGGUAAUACGUAGGUGGCAAGCGUUGUCCGGAAUUAUUGGGCGUAAAGCGCGCGCAGGCGGAUCAGUUAGUCUGUCUUAAAAGUUCGGGGCUUAACCCCGUGAGGGGAUGGAAACUGCUGAUCUAGAGUAUCGGAGAGGAAAGUGGAAUUCCUAGUGUAGCGGUGAAAUGCGUAGAUAUUAGGAAGAACACCAGUGGCGAAGGCGACUUUCUGGACGAAAACUGACGCUGAGGCGCGAAAGCCAGGGGAGCGAACGGGAUUAGAUACCCCGGUAGUCCCUGUCUCUUAUACA